GGGGUAUCCUCUCCUAUAUCAUCACGCUGGCCAUGAGUUUCCUUCGUUUUAUUAAAGUGCAACAUCUUCUCAAUCUCAUCCUUUGCUCUUUCAAACACUUUAGCUGCUUUGACUGUACUAUCUGAUUGAGACUCUGUUUUCUCCCCUUUGGACUCUGCUGCAACAGUUUCAUCCUUUGGGUGGAUCGUUUGAACAAGCGCCUCGAUCUCCUCUUUCAUUCUCUCAAACACGUUUGGCGCCCUGACUUCAUC
Molecule: unclassified non-coding RNA, 251 nt
Filed under: Hevea brasiliensis (rubber tree)
Lineage: Eukaryota; Viridiplantae; Streptophyta; Magnoliopsida; Malpighiales; Euphorbiaceae
Source: RNAcentral